UGAGGAAUAUUGGUCAAUGGGCGAGAGCCUGAACCAGCCAAGUAGCGUGCAGGAUGACGGCCCUAUGGGUUGUAAACUGCUUUUAUAUGGGAAUAAAGUGAGGGACGUGUCCCUUAUUGCAUGUACCAUACGAAUAAGGACCGGCUAAUUCCGUGCCAGCAGCCGCGGUAAUACGGAAGGUUCUGGCGUUAUCCGGAUUUAUUGGGUUUAAAGGGAGCGUAGGCCGUUUGGUAAGCGUGUUGUGAAAUGUAGGAGCUCAACUUCUAGAUUGCAGCGCGAACUGUCAGACUUGAGUGCGCACAACGUAGGCGGAAUUCAUGGUGUAGCGGUGAAAUGCUUAGAUAUCAUGACGAACUCCGAUUGCGAAGGCAGCUUACGGGAGCGCAACUGACGCUAAAGCUCGAAGGUGCGGGUAUCGAACAGG
Molecule: ribosomal RNA, 424 nt
Filed under: Verrucomicrobiota bacterium
Lineage: Bacteria; Pseudomonadati; Verrucomicrobiota
Description: Verrucomicrobia bacterium partial 16S ribosomal RNA
Rfam family: Bacterial small subunit ribosomal RNA
Source: RNAcentral